AACGAACGCUGGCGGCAUGCCUAACACAUGCAAGUCGAACGAGACCUUCGGGUCUAGUGGCGCACGGGUGCGUAACGCGUGGGAACCUGCCCUUAGGUUCGGAAUAACUCCCCGAAAGGGGUGCUAAUACCGGAUAAUGUCUUCGGACCAAAGAUUUAUCGCCUUUGGAUGGGCCCGCGUUGGAUUAGGUAGUUGGUAGGGUAAAAGCCUACCAAGGCGACGAUCCAUAGCUGGUCUGAGAGGAUGAUCAGCCACACUGGGACUGAGACACGGCCCAGACUUCUACCGGAUGGAGGAAUGGGGGAUUUUGGAACAUGGGGGGAAGGCUGAACCCGCCAUGACGGGAGAGGGGUUAAGGGCUUUGGGUUGGAAAGCUCUUUUACCCCGGGUGGUAAUGACCGUACCGGGAGAAUAAGCCCCGGCUAACUUCGUG
This 433-nucleotide ribosomal RNA is filed under the name uncultured bacterium. RNAcentral describes it as "partial 16S ribosomal RNA". It matches the Rfam family "Bacterial small subunit ribosomal RNA", at positions 29 to 507 of the family's 1533-position model. The record is from RNAcentral.